This 486-nucleotide ribosomal RNA is filed under the name uncultured bacterium. RNAcentral describes it as "partial 16S ribosomal RNA". It matches the Rfam family "Bacterial small subunit ribosomal RNA", at positions 30 to 507 of the family's 1533-position model. The record is from RNAcentral.
AUUGAACGCUGGCGGCAUGCCUUACACAUGCAAGUCGAACGGCAGCACGGGUGCUUGCACCUGGUGGCGAGUGGCGAACGGGUGAGUAAUACAUCGGAACAUGUCCUGUAGUGGGGGAUAGCCCGGCGAAAGCCGGAUUAAUACCGCAUACGAUCUCCGGCUGAAAGCGGGGGCCCUUCGGGCCUCGCGCUAUCGGGUUGGCCGAUGGCUGAUUAGCUAGUUGGUGGGGUAAAGGCCUACCAAGGCGACGAUCAGUAGCUGGUCUGAGAGGACGACCAGCCACACUGGGACUGAGACACGGCCCAGACUCCUACGGGAGGCAGCAGUGGGGAAUUUUGGACAAUGGGCGAAAGCCUGAUCCAGCAAUGCCGCGUGUGUGAAGAAGGCCUUCGGGUUGUAAAGCACUUUUGUCCGGAAAGAAAUCCUUGGCCCUAAUACGGUCGGGGGAUGACGGUACCGGAAGAAUAAGCACCGGCUAACUACGUG